RNAcentral lists this ribosomal RNA (915 nucleotides) under uncultured bacterium. RNAcentral's name for it is "bacterial SSU rRNA". It matches the Rfam family "Bacterial small subunit ribosomal RNA", at positions 8 to 916 of the family's 1533-position model. The record is from RNAcentral.
AGAGUUUGAUCAUGGCUCAGAUUGAACGCUGGCGGUAUGCUUAACACAUGCAAGUCGAACGGUAACAUGGGAGCUUGCUCCCGAUGACGAGUGGCGGACGGGUGAGUAACGCGUAGGAAUCUGCCUAGUAGUGGGGGACAACUUGGGGAAACUCAAGCUAAUACCGCAUACGCCCUACGGGGGAAAGCGGGGGAUCUUCGGACCUCGCGCUAUUAGAUGAGCCUGCGUUAGAUUAGCUAGUUGGUGGGGUAAAGGCCUACCAAGGCGACGAUCUAUAGCUGGUCUGAGAGGACGAUCAGCCACACUGGGACUGAGACACGGCCCAGACUCCUACGGGAGGCAGCAGUGGGGAAUAUUGGACAAUGGGCGAAAGCCUGAUCCAGCAAUACCGCGUGUGUGAAGAAGGCCUGAGGGUUGUAAAGCACUUUCAAUUGGGAGGAAAAAGAGUGGGCCAAUACCCUGCUCCUUGACAUUACCUUUAGAAGAAGCACCGGCUAACUCCGUGCCAGCAGCCGCGGUAAUACGGAGGGUGCGAGCGUUAAUCGGAAUUACUGGGCGUAAAGCGUGCGUAGGCGGUUAUUUAAGUCAGAUGUGAAAGCCCCGGGCUUAACCUGGGAAUUGCAUUUGAUACUGGGUGACUAGAGUUUAAUAGAGGAGAGUGGAAUUUCAGGUGUAGCGGUGAAAUGCGUAGAGAUCUGAAGGAACACCAGUGGCGAAGGCGGCUCUCUGGAUUAAAACUGACGCUGAGGUACGAAAGCGUGGGUAGCAAACAGGAUUAGAUACCCUGGUAGUCCACGCCGUAAACGAUGUCAACUAGCCGUUGGGUUUAUUAAUGAACUUAGUGGUGCAGCUAACGCAUUAAGUUGACCGCCUGGGGAGUACGGCCGCAAGGUUAAAACUCAAAGGAAUUGACGG